GGAAGGUUGCCGGAGUGGUAACGGCGCAGUUUCGAAAACUGAGGGCGGGUAACACCGACAGAGGUUCGAUUCCUCUACCUUCCG
This 84-nucleotide transfer RNA is filed under the name Chitinophagaceae bacterium. RNAcentral describes it as "tRNA-Ser". It matches the Rfam family "tRNA". From Rfam's summary of the family: Transfer RNA (tRNA) molecules are approximately 80 nucleotides in length. Their secondary structure includes four short double-helical elements and three loops (D, anti-codon, and T loops). Further hydrogen bonds mediate the characteristic L-shaped molecular structure. tRNAs have two regions of fundamental functional importance: the anti-codon, which is responsible for specific mRNA codon recognition, and the 3' end, to which the tRNAs corresponding amino acid is attached (by aminoacyl-tRNA synthetases). tRNAs cope with the degeneracy of the genetic code in two manners: having more than one tRNA (with a specific anti-codon) for a particular amino acid; and 'wobble' base-pairing, i.e. permitting non-standard base-pairing at the 3rd anti-codon position. Lineage: Bacteria; Pseudomonadati; Bacteroidota; Chitinophagia; Chitinophagales; Chitinophagaceae. The record is from RNAcentral.